GAGGGUAUAGCUCAAGUGGUAGAGCGCAUGCUCAGCAUGCCCAAGGUCCUGGGUUCAAUCCCCAGUACCUUCU
RNAcentral lists this transfer RNA (73 nucleotides) under Camelus bactrianus (Bactrian camel). It matches the Rfam family "tRNA". From Rfam's summary of the family: Transfer RNA (tRNA) molecules are approximately 80 nucleotides in length. Their secondary structure includes four short double-helical elements and three loops (D, anti-codon, and T loops). Lineage: Eukaryota; Metazoa; Chordata; Mammalia; Artiodactyla; Camelidae. The record is from Rfam by way of RNAcentral. RNAcentral also lists the same sequence under 1 other name.